GAAACCUCAUCCCAUAGCGUCCCACACAAAGCUGAGGCAUCGCAUGAACCAUGUUCCUCUGCUCCUGCUUCUUCAGUGUGCAGCCCACCACCUUUGCGACAGACAGCGCAAAGCACACAACUCUUCCUAGAGCUCCUGCUCCACAGCUUCCUGGAUACGAUCAUGACAUACAUCAGUGGAAGUGUUCUCAUCAACAG
Molecule: long non-coding RNA, 197 nt
Organism: Triplophysa rosa
Lineage: Eukaryota; Metazoa; Chordata; Actinopteri; Cypriniformes; Nemacheilidae
Exons: 3
Source: RefSeq, a predicted model, not a curated record